GCUCAAAUUUGAAAUCUCACUGUUUCACAGUGCGAAUUGUAGUUUAGAGAAGCGCUUUCGAACCUAGUCUGGGUACAAGUUCUUUGGAACAAGACAUCAUAGAGGGUGAGAAUCCCGUCCAUGAUCCAGGUCCUAGGUUUAUGUGAUGCGUUUUCCAAGAGUCGGUUUGUUUGGGAAUGCAGACCAAAAUGGGUGGUAAAUACCAUCUAAAGCUAAAUACUGGCGAGAGACCGAUAGCGAACAAGUACCGUGAGGGAAAGAUGAAAAGAACUUUGAAAAGAGAGUUAAACAGUACGUGAAAUUGUCAAAAGGGAAACGCUUGAAACCAGUAUUGUGCGGUCUAAUUCAGUACAUCAACCGAUGUAUGCACUUUAGGCCGUGCGAGUCAACAUCAGUUUGGGACGCGGUAAAAAGACUAGCGGAAUGUGGCCCUCGGGUGUUAUAGCCGCUAGUCAAUGCAGUGUCCUGGACUGAGGAACGCAGCGUUACUUGGGGACCACUGUCGCCCUCUGGCUCGACGCUAAACGACUACAUGUAGAUGUUUAGGCACUCGAGUCGAGGCCCGGCGGAUGUACCACACCAGCGCUUUGGAUGUUGACGAAAUGGUUUUAAACGACCCGUCUUGAAACACGGACCAAGGAGUCUAACAUAUAUGCGAGUAUUUGGGUGUCAAACCCUUAUGCGCAAUGAAAGUGAACAGGUGGGAUCUUUAUUGAGCACCAUCGACCGGGCCAUGGAUUUAUCUAUCGGUCUGAGUAAGAGCAUACAUGUUGGGACCCGAAAGAUGGUGAACUAUGCCUGAAUAGGGUGAAGCCAGAGG
Molecule: ribosomal RNA, 820 nt
Filed under: Entophlyctis helioformis
Lineage: Eukaryota; Fungi; Chytridiomycota; Chytridiomycetes; Chytridiales; Chytriomycetaceae
Description: eukaryotic LSU rRNA
Rfam family: Eukaryotic large subunit ribosomal RNA
Source: RNAcentral